GAAGCUACAAACGCGGAAGCGUCGCGUCUUUUAAGGUGGACCGGAUAGCGUCAAUAAGAAGCUGCGAAUAAGAAGCUGGAUUCAGCCUCGUCAGAAAGAGCCCGUUCACACGCUCUUCUGAUUGGCUGUGAUUUGUAAAUGAUUUUGUCAUCUUGUUUCUGAUUGUUUGUGGAAUUUUGUGCCAUCAUCGCGUAUGUUUAAGACACGGUGUAAUGCAUGGAUUUUAGUUAGGCUAUUCGUUUUGCAGGUUACACAGUAAAUUGCGACAACUGCCUUUUAUGGAAUUAAAAGUCACAAGUCACUGAAUCAUUAACCGAUUAUUGGUUCAUUCAGGAAGCACCCGCCCACCACUACUGUGUUGCUCGCGGACGCGCGACAGUUGACCCCGAUUCGACGUCGUUUGGAACAGAUGUUACUUACAGGACUGGAGUCUACAUCUCUUCAUGUGAGUGAACAUAAAAGGAGUUUGUGAAUUCUGCAGUUUGGAAACCAAUGUUUUUGCAUGUUUUCAUCACAACUUUCGGUGUUUCUUUCAAGCCUGGUAAGUUGACCUCACUGUUUUUCUCCUUUUUUGUACACUUCGAAGUUAUGAAUCAAAGCAGUUUAACAGCAUGCAGUGCUCUCAAUAACCAGAAGGUGGCAGCACAGACUCAACUUUAAAGCAUUGCCAAAUCUCCCUUCAGUUUUUUUUUUGUAUGUUCUCAUACAAUUCUGCACUUAUUUCAGCUCCAGCUUAACACACAGUACUUCAUAUUUCGUAGGUAGAUUAAGCGUAUAUAUAUA
This is a long non-coding RNA of Megalobrama amblycephala (Wuchang bream), 783 nucleotides long. RefSeq lists it as uncharacterized. NCBI's taxonomy places the organism in Eukaryota, Metazoa, Chordata, Actinopteri, Cypriniformes, Xenocyprididae. The transcript has 3 exons. The record is from RefSeq and is a predicted model, not a curated record.